UGGACCUCUCUUACACAAAGAAUUACCUCGCAUGGGAACAAAUUAUUUGAUCGAUGAUCGCUACUCCACCAUCCUUGAAUUUCUUCUUCUCAAUUUCCGUAGGAACAUAUCUGUAGACCUCAUAAUCAUGCAGUUCGAAAAAUCUCACCAUCUUCAACAGCAUCUGUAGCAAUAAACAAGAUUUUCAAAUCAAGUUCCUGCAUUAUCUUUCUCAAUUGUUCAGCCGCGCUCGGGAUCGAUGGUACCGAUUCUGCUCGACCACGCAAGAAAUCGCGUCGUCUCAAAUGGACAGCAAGAUAAGGCCCUCCCUUCGCAUUUCUGUGCCCCUAUAAAUCGGAAUAAUUACUAUUGUAUUUCCCAAAAGGAAAAACUUUGACAUUCAUUUACUUUUUCCUCUGUCCAGUCAGCAAUUCGUGGGGUUUUAUCCUUUGUGUCUUCAGAUUUGAGAUUUUUCAGUCGAAAUUCAUUAGCUGUCUUGUACAAUAGCUCGUUGUAUCGCAUGCUUCGUCGUGCUCUCCAAUAUUCUUGUGAUCCAUAAUGAUCAUGGAGGGCAAUUUCCAUACGAUCAAACAUGAAAGAUCUAGCCGAGAUCAAGACCAUUAUGUUGUUUGUACAGAGGAAUGAUUGGAUUUAGUUCAUCAGAAAUAUUUGUUGGAUUUACUAGAAAAGAUAAUUAGUAUUCAUAAUUCACCUGUAAACUUCAGGCUCCAGAUUCUUUUGCAAACCGGAAGCUGUUCCAUGGAAUAAAAGACAAUUAACGUUC
Venturia canescens is the source of this 763-nucleotide long non-coding RNA. RefSeq lists it as uncharacterized. Lineage: Eukaryota; Metazoa; Arthropoda; Insecta; Hymenoptera; Ichneumonidae. The record is from RefSeq and is a predicted model, not a curated record. The transcript is spliced from 2 exons.